Long non-coding RNA from Gordionus sp. m RMFG-2023, 223 nucleotides. RefSeq lists it as uncharacterized. NCBI's taxonomy places the organism in Eukaryota, Metazoa, Nematomorpha, Gordioida, Chordodea, Parachordodidae. The record is from RefSeq and is a predicted model, not a curated record. The transcript is spliced from 3 exons.
AACAAACAUAAAAAUACACUAAGUCACAACAAAUCACUAUCUAAUAAAUAUAUAUCUAAAAAAUCUAGGGAGAAUUUAAAUGGAAAUGAAGUUCCACUCAUGUCAGCAAUUCCCACAUACUCCAGAAAACUAAAGGAUAAUAGACAACCAAUUAUACUAGAUCAUUUAGAACCAUCACCUACUACAAGUGAUAUAGUCUAUUACUUUAUACUUAUAAUAAUCA